AUGGUUCAGUGAGGCUUUCGGACUGGCCCAGGGAGGUCGGCAACGACCACCCAGGGCCGGAAAGUUAUCCAAACUCGAUCAUUUAGAGGAAGUAAAAGUCGUAACAAGGUCUCCGUUGGUGAACCAGCGGAGGGAUCAUUG
Molecule: ribosomal RNA, 141 nt
Filed under: Foliocryphia eucalypti
Lineage: Eukaryota; Fungi; Ascomycota; Sordariomycetes; Diaporthales
Also listed under: 1 other name
Description: partial 18S ribosomal RNA
Rfam family: Eukaryotic small subunit ribosomal RNA
Source: RNAcentral